GUUCUCUUCAUCUUCUUGGUCUUUUUUCAUUUUCUCGGUUGUGUUCUCUAAUCAUAGAUAUAAGAGAGUCCUUUUACAACAGAAACUAGGAAUAUCCUGUUGACGAUCUGACAGUGCAUAUCCAGUUAUGGUUAUCUCUCAUUGAAAGGUAUUCAUUAUAAACUUCUUCAUAUGGUGGUUUCUGGAUGAUAAAAAGGUUGUCUGCUAAGCUGAUAACUACAACUAUUAUUCAUAGGAAAUGAUGAAUUCAAACGUGCUUAUGCACAUAUUGUAGAUAAAAGAAUCCUAUUAUAUAUGCAUAGCGAUGCACAUAAAUAUGUUUGCAUUGAUUAUUUAUUUCAUACACCUAUGUAGAGAUAACAUAUUCUGUUGUGUUA
This is a long non-coding RNA of Solanum dulcamara, 377 nucleotides long. RefSeq lists it as uncharacterized. The record is from RefSeq and is a predicted model, not a curated record. NCBI's taxonomy places the organism in Eukaryota, Viridiplantae, Streptophyta, Magnoliopsida, Solanales, Solanaceae. The transcript has 4 exons.